UUCGGGGCGAGUGGCGGACGGGUGAGUAACACGUGGGAACGUGCCCUUUGGUUCGGAAUAACUCAGGGAAACUUGAGCUAAUACCGGAUGAGCCCUACGGGGGAAAGAUUUAUCGCCGAAGGAGCGGCCCGCGUCUGAUUAGCUAGUUGGUGAGGUAAAGGCUCACCAAGGCUACGAUCAGUAGCUGGUCUGAGAGGAUGAUCAGCCACACUGGGACUGAGACACGGCCCAGACUCCUACGGGAGGCAGCAGUGGGGAAUCUUGCGCAAUGGGCGAAAGCCUGACGCAGCCAUGCCGCGUGGAUGAUGAAGGUCUUAGGAUUGUAAAAUCCUUUCACCGGGGACGAUAAUGACGGUACCCGGAGAAGAAGCCCCGGCUAACUUCGUGCCAGCAGCCGCGGUAAUACGAAGGGGGCUAGCGUUGCUCGGAAUUACUGGGCGUAAAGGGCGCGUAGGCGGACAGUUAAGUUGGGGGUGAAAGCCCGGGGCUCAACCUCGGAAUUGCCUUCAAUACUGGCUGUCUUGAGUACGGGAGAGGUGUGUGGAACUCCGAGUGUAGAGGUGAAAUUCGUAGAUAUUCGGAAGAACACCAGUGGCGAAGGCGACACACUGGCCCGUUACUGACGCUGAGGCGCGAAAGCGUGGGGAGCAAACAGGAUUAGAUACCCUG
RNAcentral lists this ribosomal RNA (669 nucleotides) under uncultured Alphaproteobacteria bacterium. RNAcentral's name for it is "bacterial SSU rRNA". It matches the Rfam family "Bacterial small subunit ribosomal RNA", at positions 85 to 789 of the family's 1533-position model. The record is from RNAcentral. Lineage: Bacteria; Pseudomonadati; Pseudomonadota; Alphaproteobacteria.